RNAcentral lists this long non-coding RNA (229 nucleotides) under Vigna radiata. RNAcentral's name for it is "long non-coding RNA (VRAD_LNC008972)". Lineage: Eukaryota; Viridiplantae; Streptophyta; Magnoliopsida; Fabales; Fabaceae. The record is from RNAcentral.
UUCAUUCCCUUCCUUCCAAACUUUUCUCACUCUUCAUUUAAUACAGUAAUCCUAAGAAAUAAAACUUUUCAUUUUUUUUUUAUCUUCUUCACUUACUCAUACUCUUCAUUUAAUACAGUAAUCCUAACAAAUAAAACUUUUCAUUUUUUUUUUAUCUUCUUCACUUACUCAUUCCUGUUACUCAAAAAUGAAGGAAAACUCUGAUAUUGCAUUCAAAAAUAAAUCUCUC